UCAAACUUGGUCAUUUAGAGGAAGUAAAAGUCGUAACAAGGUUUCCGUAGGUGAACCUGCGGAAGGAUCAUUAACAAUUCAUUAUAAUUUUACUCACCUUCGUGUGCAACUGUAAAAAAGUAUAUCUUUGGAAAGGUUAUUCGUUAACCUUUCCAAGGGUUAUCGUAAUUAAUGAUUAUUUUCUUUUUCUGUUACUAAAAAAAACAUUUUAAUAAAAACAACUUUCAACAAUGGAUCUCUUGGCUCUCGCAUCGAUGAAGAACGCAGC
This 268-nucleotide unclassified non-coding RNA is filed under the name uncultured fungus. RNAcentral describes it as "partial contains small subunit ribosomal RNA, internal transcribed spacer 1, and 5.8S ribosomal RNA". The stretch from base 1 to 73 matches the Rfam family "Eukaryotic small subunit ribosomal RNA", at positions 1759 to 1831 of the family's 1831-position model. Lineage: Eukaryota; Fungi. The record is from RNAcentral.